This 232-nucleotide ribosomal RNA is filed under the name uncultured bacterium. RNAcentral describes it as "partial 16S ribosomal RNA". It matches the Rfam family "Bacterial small subunit ribosomal RNA", at positions 100 to 334 of the family's 1533-position model. The record is from RNAcentral.
CGGGACGGGUGAGUAAUGUCUGGGAAACUGCCUGAUGAGGGGGGAUAACUACUGGAAACGGUAGCUAAUACCGCAUAACGUCGCAAGACCAAAGAGGGGGACCUUCGGGCCUCUUGCCAUCGGAUGUGCCCAGAUGGGAUUAGCUAGUAGGUGGGGUAACGGCUCACCUAGGCGACGAUCCCUAGCUGGUCUGAGAGGAUGACCAGCCACACUGGAACUGAGACACGGCCAG